UUUUUAGCAUCAUGACAUUCUGUAUCAUUGAUAAAAUUUGAUAAAUUUACAAAUCUGAUAAAAUUCUUGAAUUUUUUUAUAUCUCAUUACGGGUGUGCCAUAUCCCAUCAUAAUAAUCAGUGUUUUUUCAUAUCGCAAAGAGUGUUAUCACGAAAAUACCAUAAAAUAUUGUCAUAUAACAUUAAGGCAAUAUCACCCAUAAAAACAAGUUACUCUUGUUCAGCAGGUUAAUCUUAUACUGCCAGCAUUUAGAUGGAACAUUAAUAAUGAUUAAUUAAGAAAAUAAAUAAUAAAGCUUUUCUUUUUAGAUUUCCAGUUAUCAGCUUAACAAAAUAUCUUGCUGUACCAUGUGAAACAUUCCUACAUUGCCCAAAAAGUCAAGCGCUGGGUCCGAAUGUGUCACACAGACAGAUUAAACCACUAUCUUUUGACUUUUGAUAUCCUGCUGCAGUUAUUUAGCUAAAAAUUAAAUUCAUGGUUUAAAUAAAUAUUAAUUAUGUUUGUGUUUUCAUAUUAUUAAUACAGUGUUUUGAAUGAUUUACAAAUAAUAUUUUGUACAGGCCUUUUCUAGGUUGUCAUAACGUAAAAAUGCCCGUUUCACAGAACUUAAAUUAUGACAAAAACUCUACAUAAAAAUCUAGUGCAGUAAAUUACCUUUAAAUGUUGGGUUUUUAAAUUGUACAGUGUCUUAUUUGUAUUUUACUUAAAUGUAACAGGAGGACAGGUAAGACUUUAGAAAACAAUCUGUGUCGCUUUUUGAAAGGUCAUAAGAAACCACAGCAUGUAUGAACUAGAUAAAGAUUAGAGACUGAAGCUGUUCUGCUGGAACUGCAGCUGCAGAAAGCAAAAGGUCAUGUUUUUUAACUUUCCGCUCACUGUGUACCCUUAGAGCUGUAGGUGAAGGUGGGCAUGUCUGUUAGAAGUGCUGUAUAUUCAGAGAUAAAUGACCAAAGCCAUUUUUCUCCUGAUCCAGAUGCUGGUGCAUAUGAGAACGUCUUCCCUGCAAAAUAUAUUGACCAUGACUCUGACAGCUACGAUUAUGAAAACGCACAGUAUCUGCAGAACAACGAUGACGAUGAACCUGAUUAUGAAAAUACUAAUCCCCUUGUUCAUCAUGAAAACAUGAGUUAAAAUGUUAAUUUAUUUCAGUACCUCGAAGCAAUUAAAGUAUAAUUUUAGCUAAAGCUAGUGAUACCAACUAUAUCUGUAUUUUCUUAUUAGGUGGUUUUAUGGAGUGUUACUGUGAAUUCAUGUUUUUUUUGUGUGAAAUGAUGUAACAAAAUGUAGAUUUUAUUUGUUAUUUUAUCUGUUGUUACAAGCA
RNAcentral lists this long non-coding RNA (1321 nucleotides) under Astyanax mexicanus (Mexican tetra). RNAcentral describes it as "lncRNA (ENSAMXG00005013886.1)". Lineage: Eukaryota; Metazoa; Chordata; Actinopteri; Characiformes; Acestrorhamphidae. The record is from RNAcentral.